GAUGAACGCUGGCGGCGUGCCUAAUACAUGCAAGUCGAGCGAACAGACGAGGAGCUUGCUCCUCUGACGUUAGCGGCGGACGGGUGAGUAACACGUGGAUAACCUACUUAUAUGACUGGGAUAAUUUCGGGAAACCGGAGAUAAUACCGGAUAACAUGCUGAACCGCAUGGUUCAACAGAGAAAGACGGUCUUGCUGUCACUUAUAGAUGGAUCCGCGCCGCAUUAGCUAGUUGGUAAGGUAACGGCUUACCAAGGCAACGAUGCGUAGCCGACCUGAGAGGGUGAUCGGCCACACUGGAACUGAGACACGGUCCAGACUCCUACGGGAGGCAGCAGUAGGGAAUCUUCCGCAAUGGGCGAAAGCCUGACGGAGCAACGCCGCGUGAGUGAAGAAGGUCUUCGGAUAGUAAAGCUCUGUUAUUGGGGAAGAACAAAUGUGGAAGUAACUAUGCACGUCUUGACGGUACCUAAUCAGAAAGCCACGGCUAACUACGUG
RNAcentral lists this ribosomal RNA (497 nucleotides) under uncultured bacterium. RNAcentral's name for it is "partial 16S ribosomal RNA". It matches the Rfam family "Bacterial small subunit ribosomal RNA", at positions 28 to 507 of the family's 1533-position model. The record is from RNAcentral.